Long non-coding RNA from Lepidothrix coronata (blue-crowned manakin), 165 nucleotides. RefSeq lists it as uncharacterized. The record is from RefSeq and is a predicted model, not a curated record. NCBI's taxonomy places the organism in Eukaryota, Metazoa, Chordata, Aves, Passeriformes, Pipridae. The transcript has 2 exons.
GAUCAGGUCAGCUGUUCUUUCAUUCUCAAAAUGAAGUUGAAAAAGGCAACUGAAGACAAACGUUAUCCAGUCUGAAGAGCACUUUACUGAAUAGCUCAAGGACUCCUUUAAUACUGCAAGAUACCAUCCUGUGUUGACUCCAAAUUCAGUAAGCCUUCUCUGAGG